UGACCAUAUCAUUUUGAAACACUAGUUCCCAUACAAUCACAAAAAUUAAGAAACAUUGAGCAUGGUCAGUAUCUAGAUGGGUGACUGCUUGGGAAUACCUGGUGCUGUAAG
This is a non-coding RNA of Acanthosepion pharaonis, 111 nucleotides long. The record is from the annotation of a GenBank genome assembly. Lineage: Eukaryota; Metazoa; Mollusca; Cephalopoda; Sepiida; Sepiidae.